RNAcentral lists this ribosomal RNA (242 nucleotides) under uncultured bacterium. RNAcentral's name for it is "partial 16S ribosomal RNA". It matches the Rfam family "Bacterial small subunit ribosomal RNA", at positions 523 to 763 of the family's 1533-position model. The record is from RNAcentral.
ACACGUAGGAGGCAAACGUUAUCCGGAUUUACUGGGCGUAAAGCGCGUGUAGGUGGUUCUGUAAGUAGGGCGUGAAAGCUCCCGGCUCAACUGGGAGAGGCCGUUCUAAACUACAGAACUAGAGGAUGGUAGAGGGAGGUGGAAUUCCGGGUGUAGCGGUGGAAUGCGCAGAUAUCCGGAGGAACACCAGUGGCGAAAGCGGCCUCCUGGACCACUCCUGACACUCAGACGACGAAAGCGUA